AUUCACAUGGUACACAGACAAACAUGCAGACAAAAGAUUCAUGCACAUAAAAUCGUUCAAAGAUACAUAUGUCUGUGCUCUUAUGCACUAAUCGCUGUUCUUUUGUCUAGAUAAGAAAUUGCAAUUUGUAGUGGUUUCCUGCUGCAGUGUCCUUGAGCUGUGCUUCUGGGUCCAGUGGCAUUUGGAGUCACUUUUUUUUAACAUGUAAUCUUAUUUCUCCAUUCAGAGUUCUAAUGUAUUUCUGGUUUUCUAAAGUGUAAUAACUAUGAUACUUUAUAGGUUGUUUUAACUGCUACCCCAAAAUUGUACAUAUAAAUGGGGUAUUCUGUGAUUGUUGUUGACACAUGUACACAUUACAUAAUGUGUAAAGCCUGUGUCCAUCCUUUUAUUAUUUCUUUAUGGUAAAAGAAUUCAGAUUCCUUUCUUCUACCUCUUUGAAAUGUAGAACUUACUUUCCAUGCAGUAGCACAGGAGAGCCUCUGGUCCCAAACCCUGAUCAACCUUUCUCCAAUUUUCCUCCCACUUCUUUGAUGCCUGAGUACCAUCUCGUGAACUCGAUUAAGAUCAGCCUUUGGCUUUUCCGUGCAUGAAAUCCUUUAGUGCUUGUUUUUCUAUGCCUGGCUCAUUCAUGGAGUGGAUGGCAGUGGACUCUGGACGCGCUUGGCAGGCUCUGUUUGUUUCAGUGGCUGAUUAGCAUGUAGUCUAUGUGUGUGCCACGCUUUGAUAAGGAUAAGUUUUCCUGUUUCUUUCUUUUGGAUUGAAUUUUUUUCCAAUCUCUUCAGGAAAUCUUUUUUAUUCAAUACUCAGACCAGCUGUGUUUUUAUUCAUCCUUGAGGAUUUUGUCAGGUUGUUUUAUGACCUGCUACAAGCUGUUGAGUUAGCUAUCUUGUCUCUCUGGAGGAUGUUAAUGCUUGUGUGUUUUUAGUUUUUCCUGCUCUUUUGUACAGUUGUUCUUUUCUCAAAUGUUUGAGUAUUUGAGGGUUUCCUCUGUAUUUUAAGAAUAAGAUGGGUGGUGUCUCAUGCCUUUAAUCCUAGCACUAGGGAGGCUGAGAGAGGCAGGUGGAUCUCUUGAGUUCCAGGACAGCCAGAGAGAUAUACAGAGAAACCUAUAUUGAAAAAACU
This 1122-nucleotide long non-coding RNA is filed under the name Mus musculus (house mouse). RNAcentral describes it as "long non-coding RNA chr15:96399722-96400844". Lineage: Eukaryota; Metazoa; Chordata; Mammalia; Rodentia; Muridae. The record is from RNAcentral.